Molecule: ribosomal RNA, 251 nt
Filed under: uncultured prokaryote
Description: partial 16S ribosomal RNA
Rfam family: Bacterial small subunit ribosomal RNA
Source: RNAcentral
ACGUAGGGUGCAAGCGUUAAUCGGAAUUACUGGGCGUAAAGCGUGCGCAGGCGGUUUUGUAAGUCUGUCGUGAAAGCCCCGGGCUCAACCUGGGAAUUGCGAUGGAGACUGCAAGGCUUGAAUCUGGCAGAGGGGGGUAGAAUUCCACGUGUAGCAGUGAAAUGCGUAGAGAUGUGGAGGAACACCGAUGGCGAAGGCAGCCCCCUGGGUCAAGAUUGACGCUCAUGCACGAAAGCGUGGGGAGCAAACAG